UGUUCUUCUUUUAGUAACUAAACGUGAUAUUAGUUUAAUUCAUCGUGAGAUAGAAUUGUUUAUCUUGUUAAUUACUUGUGUUGAAGGCAGGCAGUACGAAAGGAAAUUUGUUAAAGUUUUUAACUUUGUUAGAGGGCGUGUCC
RNAcentral lists this ribosomal RNA (143 nucleotides) under Toxocara canis (dog roundworm). RNAcentral's name for it is "partial large subunit ribosomal RNA". The record is from RNAcentral. Lineage: Eukaryota; Metazoa; Nematoda; Chromadorea; Rhabditida; Toxocaridae.